CCUACGGGCGGCAGCAGUGGGGGAUAUUGCACAAUGGGGGGAACCCUGAUGCAGCGACGCCGCGUGUGGGAAGACGGUCCUCUGGAUUGUAAACCACUGUCUCCAGGGCCGAAAAUGUCGGUACCUGGGGAGGAUGCUCCGGCUAACUAGGGGCCAGCAGCCGCGGUAAUACGUGGGGAGCGAGCGUUGUCCGGAAUUACUGGGGGUAAAGGGAGCGUGGGGGGGGAUGCAAGUUGGGUGUCAAAACUACCGGCUCAACUGGUAGUCGCACUCAAAACUGCGGUUCUUGAGUGAAGUAGAGGCAGGCGGAAGUCCGAGUGUAGCGGUGAAAUGCGUAGAUAUUAGGAGGAACACCAGUGGCGAAGGCGGCCUGCUGGGCUUUUACUGACGCUGAGGCUCGAAAGUGUGGGGAGCAAACAGGAUUAGAUACCCCGGUAGUC
This 440-nucleotide ribosomal RNA is filed under the name uncultured bacterium. RNAcentral's name for it is "partial 16S ribosomal RNA". It matches the Rfam family "Bacterial small subunit ribosomal RNA", at positions 338 to 795 of the family's 1533-position model. The record is from RNAcentral.